AUAAUUUUGCAAUCAGCACAUAACACAUCAAAGCAUGUGAAGAAGAGAUAUUAAGUGAAUAGAUAUAUAGAGAGAGGAAAACUGGGAAUAAAAGAACAAUAAUAUCUUUGAAACCAUGACAAACUUAUCACAAGGAACGAGAUAGGAUAACAAUGAAAUGCUUGUCUGCAGAGGAAGGAAGCAAAACCUUGGGUGAACCUUUCCUACACCAUGUCUAAUAUUUUGGUAUAUAUGGUUUUCCCAUUUACACUAACCUAUAUAUAUAUAUAUAUAUAUAUAUAUAUAUAUAUAAACAAUACAAAUUAACUAGCCAUAUCAUUAUUGGCUGGCUAAAGAAUUAGAUCCACAGAUUAUUAAAACUUGGCAAAGAAAUUAAUCAGUAGAAUUUGUAAGAUUAUGCAGGUUUUCAGAGGGAUCUAUAUGAUAUCCUUAGCCAUUUCUGGAUUUGAAAGAAUUCUUGUUAGGAACUUGAGAAACCGUUCUGGUAUCUUGAGACUGCUUUUGAUGCUUUGCAUGUGAACCAGCCCUUCCUUUCCUCUGCUUCCUUCUGGGCUGUGUUGCCUGGGGAAUAAACACACCUGUCCCUUUGCUUUCUGUCCUCAAAGCAUGCUCAUAGAGAAAAGCAAACUGCGGAGGAGGAUAAAUUGCCUCAGAAAAAGCCUGAAAAUUAGUUUGACCAUGUUAAGAUUGUUGUCACAGACAAAGAGAGUUUUUCCCUAUAAUUGGAAGAAGAAGAAGAAGAAGAAGAAGGGUAAAAGAACCUGAAGUGAUUCAGGAGGAGAAGAAUCAAGAUGGUCUUCAUCUUCAUCCAUGAUUAAGAGAGCAAUUUCCUUGCUCAAAUCUGCAAAAAAUAGGUCAUCUUCAAGUUCAACUGCAACCUCCAUGUCCGUUUGAUCUGACUAAUCGGGUAUGAAGGGAAGUACGAGAGUUUGUAAUCUCUCUUUGUUUCUUUUUUUGAUGUAUUUUGGAUGAGUUAAGGAAAAAGAAGUUUAUAUAGGAAAAAAGGAAAGAAAGGGUGAGUUGAGAUAGAAGGGGUGGUCAUGUGGGUUGGUGGGGUCAUGAUCACAGUUGGCCAAUCUGGCAAAGCCCUACAGAAGCCUUGCACAGGCAUCAUGGAAAUUUGUAGUGAUGUUAUCUUAUUUCAUCAGAAAGUUUCAAGGAAAAAGAUAUUCAAUCUUCAAUACACAUGGUUGAGGAUGGGCAUGGUUAUCUCUCUUUCUAAUCUCAUCUCAUCUCAUCUCAUCUCAUCAAACAGUAACUUAUGGCUCAUAUUAUUCAAAGCCUUUCACAUAUGCAUAAGCGACAAAUGAAUAUUUGUUCCAAAGAUUCUUAUCCCUAUAUCCAUCUCAUGUUCAUG
This 1357-nucleotide long non-coding RNA is filed under the name Vigna radiata. RNAcentral's name for it is "long non-coding RNA (VRAD_LNC010690)". Lineage: Eukaryota; Viridiplantae; Streptophyta; Magnoliopsida; Fabales; Fabaceae. The record is from RNAcentral.